AGGACGAACGCUGGCGGCGUGCUUAACACAUGCAAGUCGAGCGGAAAGGCCCUUCGGGGUACUCGAGCGGCGAACGGGUGAGUAACACGUGAGCAACCUGCCCUCAGCUCUGGGAUAGCUCCGGGAAACCGGAAUUAAUACCGGAUAUGACCCUGACUGACAUCGGUCAGGGUGGAAAGGAUUCCGGCUGAGGAUGGACUCGCGGCCUAUCAGCUAGUUGGUGGAGUAACGGCCCACAAGGCGACGACGGGUAGCCGGCCUGAGAGGGCGACCGGCCACACUGGGACUGAGACACGGCCCAGACUCCUGCGGGAGGCAGCAGUGGGGAAUAUUGCGCAAUGGGCGAAAGCCUGACGCAGCGACGCCGCGUGGGGGAUGAAUGCCUUCGGGUUGUAAACCCCUUUCAGCAGGGACGAAGCGAGAGUGACGGUACCUGCAGAGAAGCGCCGGCUAACUACGUGCCAGCAGCCGCGGUAA
RNAcentral lists this ribosomal RNA (477 nucleotides) under uncultured bacterium. Its description in RNAcentral is "SSU rRNA". It matches the Rfam family "Bacterial small subunit ribosomal RNA", at positions 26 to 523 of the family's 1533-position model. The record is from RNAcentral.